This 167-nucleotide ribosomal RNA is filed under the name Listeria monocytogenes. Its description in RNAcentral is "partial 16S ribosomal RNA". It matches the Rfam family "Bacterial small subunit ribosomal RNA", at positions 1 to 162 of the family's 1533-position model. The record is from RNAcentral. Lineage: Bacteria; Bacillati; Bacillota; Bacilli; Caryophanales; Listeriaceae.
UUUAAAGAGAGUUUGAUCCUGGCUCAGGACGAACGCUGGCGGCGUGCCUAAUACAUGCAAGUCGAACGAACGGAGGAAGAGCUUGCUCUUCCAAAGUUAGUGGCGGACGGGUGAGUAACACGUGGGCAACCUGCCUGUAAGUUGGGGAUAACUCCGGGAAACCGGGG